CUCAAGUUGAUACUCACCGGCGUUAAGCGUGAUUAAAGUUCUCAUAAAGUAGGGUUAAAUUAACACUUAGUAGUUUUAUGCUUGUUGUUAAGAAAUACACAAACGAAAGUUACCCUAUACCACCUUGAAUACACGACAGCUAGGAAAACAAACUGGGAUUAGAUACCCCACUAUGCCUAGCCGUAAACAAUUAACUUACACCCACACCGCCAGGGAAUUACGAGCAAUGCUUAAAACCCAAAGGAUUUGACGGUGUCCCACCCCGCUAGAGGAGCCUGUUCUAUAAUCGAUGAUCCCCGCUUCACCUAACCAUUCCUCGCCCAUCAGUCUGUAUACCUCCGUCGAAAGCUUACCCUGUGAACGUCCGCAGUAGGCCCAAUGAUUCCCCAUCAGUACGUCAGGUCAAGGUGCAGCUUAAGGAAUGGCAAGCAAUGGGCUACAAUUUCUAAUCUAGAACAAACGAAAGACUAUGUGAAACCCUAGUCAUGAAGGUGGAUUUAGUAGUAAAAAGAAACUAGAGUGUUCUUUUUAACCCGGCUCUGGGACGCGUACACACCGCCCGUCACCCUCUUCGAUAGUACUAUAUCUGUUAAUAACCCCAUAUCACGUUUUAGAAGAGGCAAGUCGUAACAUGGUAAGUGUACUGGAAAGUGCACUUGGUACACUA
Molecule: ribosomal RNA, 667 nt
Filed under: Rana chaochiaoensis
Lineage: Eukaryota; Metazoa; Chordata; Amphibia; Anura; Ranidae
Description: partial 12S ribosomal RNA
Rfam family: Bacterial small subunit ribosomal RNA
Source: RNAcentral